UUCCUCCAGACAAAUUGCAGAUCGUUUUAUUUGAUGUUGAUUUUCUUCCUAAAUUCUCAUUCAACUCAAAGCAUUAAAACUAAACGAAAGCAGCAUAGUGAUAAUGAUAUGGAAUUGUUAAGAGCAGAUUACAAAAGAAAUUCGACAGGUUUUGGGUCCUAAUGGAAUCGAUAACGACCGUUUUUGGUGAUCAAACAUCAAUUGAAACACCAAAAGAACAGGUAAAAAAAAAUUAAACAGGAAUCCGCAUCUUAGGUGGCCGGUUUGCUCUAUAUUUUCUCCAGGGCCUGCAGAAUGUCAGCCUUAAGAUCAUUGAAGUCUUCGAUACCGAAGCUGAAACGGACCAGGUUAUCCUUGAUUCCGUACUUGAGCCUAUCUGACUGGCUGAGAUCCCUGUUUCAAAAGCAUGGUAACAAAAAGCAGUCAGGAAAAGGAGACAUUUCUUUUGCUCAUUGUUGCAAAUACCAACAUGGCAAAAAUAUUUUUCAACCAUUUCAGUGUAUAAGACUAUCAUUUAGAGAAUUAUUGUAAGCAGUAACUUUGGCAACUUAAAGGCAACAAGAAUCGGUUAUGCAGUGCCAAAGCACCUCCAGGCACCCAUACAUGCUUUAGAAAUGAACUUUCAGUAAAACCUGAUCUUAGUCUAAUAGAUUGUAAUCUACCUAACUUAUCACACUUGGAUGGAGACAUUUUAACACACCCUAACCACAACAGAAUUUGGCAUAUAAGAAAUUUUGGUCUCUCUUUCAAAAAGACAUUAGAAAACUGAAUUCAUUAGCCACCAUAAGAUUAAGAAAAAAGGGAAUACCAA
This 811-nucleotide long non-coding RNA is filed under the name Fragaria vesca (wild strawberry). Its description in RNAcentral is "long non-coding RNA (FVES_LNC003330)". Lineage: Eukaryota; Viridiplantae; Streptophyta; Magnoliopsida; Rosales; Rosaceae. The record is from RNAcentral.